AGGGAAUCUUCCGCAAUGGACGAAAGUCUGACGGAGCAACGCCGCGUGAGUGAUGAAGGUUUUCGGAUCGUAAAGCUCUGUUGCCAGGGAAGAACGUCCGUUAGAGUAACUGCUAACGGAGUGACGGUACCUGAGAAGAAAGCCCCGGCUAACUACGUGCCAGCAGCCGCGGUAAUACGUAGGGGGCGAGCGUUGUCCGGAAUUAUUGGGCGUAAAGCGCGCGCAGGCGGCUGUUUAAGUCUGGUGGUUAAUCCUGGGGCUCAACCCCGGGUCGCACUGGGAACUGGGCAGCUUGAGUGCAGAAGAGGAGAGUGGAAUUCCACGUGUAGCGGUGAAAUGCGUAGAGAUGUGGAGGAACACCAGUGGCGAAGGCGGCUCUCUGGUCUGUAACUGACGCCGAGGCGCGAAAGCGUGGGGAGCAAAC
RNAcentral lists this ribosomal RNA (424 nucleotides) under uncultured bacterium. Its description in RNAcentral is "bacterial SSU rRNA". It matches the Rfam family "Bacterial small subunit ribosomal RNA", at positions 356 to 773 of the family's 1533-position model. The record is from RNAcentral.